Long non-coding RNA from Anastrepha ludens (Mexican fruit fly), 800 nucleotides. RefSeq lists it as uncharacterized. NCBI's taxonomy places the organism in Eukaryota, Metazoa, Arthropoda, Insecta, Diptera, Tephritidae. The transcript has 5 exons. The record is from RefSeq and is a predicted model, not a curated record.
UCCAGAAGAUGUGAAACGGCUUUUUUCAAAUGUAGGAUUUUCUUCCGCAAACGCAAUCUCAACAAGCGGUUGAAAUUAAGAAAGCGAAGCAGAGGAUAAUGGGCUACAAAAAGUUCAUUAAAAUUAAUCUUUGAAUAACUCAAAUAAAGUAGCUGUCCAGUGCAGUAUUAGCAGGUGAAAACACGAAAACUGUCCGUCGAAUAACUACAGUAUUUGAAAAUUAAAACAUCGUACAAAGCAUCAUUUGCUGAUUAUCGAAAAUAUGUACAAAGAACUGGCAAUAAUUUUAUCUAGUGGUGGUUUAUAUACUGCUGCGUUGAUUCGGAUUAUCACCUCUGUGAAGCGUGAGGGUGGUCACAAGAAAAUGAAAUGGCUGAUUUGCCUCAUCGCAAUAAAGCAACCAAUACGGCCCGGUCACUGUUACAAAAACUCAUUUAUGAUUAUGAGUUAGAAAAUUCUACUAGCGUACGUAAAUAUAUAGCAAACAAACUGCUAAGUCUCAACGCUUUUAUACCGCAAUGGCUAUAUAGUGUAAUGACUACAAGUUGGCGAAUUGUCCAGAGCUAUUGUAUUUGUUCGUCUUACAUAAUCCCUUAAUUGAAGCUGCCAUAUUAUCACAUGCACCAUUGGAAGCUAUAAGCGAAUACUCAGUUUCAGAUAUCGAGCAGGGGCUCACAAAUUUAGAGGACGACACCACACACGCACAGCAAAUAAAAUAUCCAAAUAAAUGAAAUAACAUUAAUAUAAAUUUAAUUAAAUAAUUUAUUUUUAAUCAAUUUUUCAAUGUUCAAUAACUUAUG